CGAAAUGCGAUAAGUAAUGNGAAUUGCAGAAUUCAGUGUAUCAUCGAAUCUUUGAACGCACCUUGCG
Molecule: ribosomal RNA, 67 nt
Filed under: uncultured Ceratobasidium
Lineage: Eukaryota; Fungi; Basidiomycota; Agaricomycetes; Cantharellales; Ceratobasidiaceae
Description: partial 5.8S ribosomal RNA
Rfam family: 5.8S ribosomal RNA
About the family: 5.8S ribosomal RNA (5.8S rRNA) is a component of the large subunit of the eukaryotic ribosome.
Source: RNAcentral